Heterocephalus glaber (naked mole-rat) is the source of this 5369-nucleotide long non-coding RNA. The record is from Ensembl. Lineage: Eukaryota; Metazoa; Chordata; Mammalia; Rodentia; Bathyergidae.
CAUAGUCAGAGCGGGAUUUAAGCUUUCAGGGGCCAGGAACGACAUCUAGAAGCCACAUUUGCCAGAGCACUAAGGACAGUCAUCAGAUUCUCCUCCAAGAGGUCAGUCACUUGGACCAGAAGGUAUUGCUACCAGUUCAUUUCUACCUCACACUUGAAGGAAGUGAGCCGUGAGAUUUUAUUUCUGGAUUGGACAAUAGGCUUCCUAUUGUUGGUUGGCCUGCCCGCCCACACCUGUGUCACACAGGCUAAACGCCAUCACGACAGGGCUGUCCACAGCGAAGCAUUCACUGGACACUUGAGUUUGUCUCAGAAAUGGAGCAAAAGGGAAACAAAUGGUCUCAGGGUGGACUUAGUAAAUGUGCUCCUCUGCAUCAGAGCCUUGACGGUGUCCGUGAAACCUCCUCCCUUUCACCACCAGCCAGCAUACCUAGGAGUCGCUGCUAAAGUCUGUGCAUCUCUCUAAAGCUUGUUGUUUAGUUCCUAAUAGAGAUUAUUUUUUAAAAAGGUGAAGGAGAUGGUAGGAUAAUUCUGGAUGGUUGAUGGUUUAAAACAAAAGAAAAUAAAUCCAAAAAAUACCAGGGAAACAACACCAAAAUUGCAACACAAAACUUAUGCUUGUUUUUGAACAGAGUGCGAUGAUGGUUUGUUUCCAAGGUUCUGGCUCCUGGCCAUGUCAUUGCAAUGACCAACUCUACAUACUGAAAAUUGUCUCAGCAUUCGAUAUUAUUCUCCUCUAAAUCUUGUAUGGGCAAGAAUUACUGACCUCACUCUGGAAUGGAAAUCCCUUUGGCUUAAAGGUGCCGAUGUCACCAAACUAGAAGGCAGACUACAAUCCGGAUCUUUGUUUAGCUAACAUCACCAUGACCUUUCAGGAAUGCAAAAAAUCAGGCUCUUAGUCCAUCCCUCUGAGAGCAGUUUCACUGUGGAGCAGCUUCCUGGGCAGAGGGGACAAAUUUGUACCAGACUUCUGAAGGAUGUGUUGCUCAUCCCCCCUCCCCGGGCUUGUACCUCAUGGUUCCGUGAGUCAGAAAGGCACCUGGGCUGGGGCUGGCCAGGCAGGAUGGACACUUUCAUUGCCCCUUCACACCCGCUCUGGGGGAACCGGCAGCAGAACCCAGCAGUGGCAGCCCAAAGCUAUUUACCAAGGUACAGCUUCCCGGGCAGCCACACAAGAGGAGGCCACACCCUGCUCCUCGCUGAAAAAGGACCCAGGAGGCCCGGUCUGAUCAUUAACCUUCAUGAGGACACUGAAGGUCAGCUGUGGCCAGUCCUCUCUCUUUCAACAGGCAGAAAAGCACACAUAUUCGACCUUCCACGCUUUGCAGAAUGGUGGGUAUGAAUCCAAAUUAGAUGGCCCAGAAAUGCCAAAAACUUAUUUAUGUGUCUAUCUGUCUGUGUUGUCCGACUGUACCAAUUCAGCAAUUCAAAAGGAAAAGCCUCAAAGAUGAAAAGCUUAAGUAGCUGGAGUAGGGACUCUCUCACCGAUGACAUGGACUUUGCGUUCCACCCAUUAAUCUCUAAUUUUCAAUAAAUUUGUCAAACUUAUCUCUUACCCAGCAUUUCUUUCAACAGAUUCAACAAUAACUUCAUCUCAGCGUACUUGGUAAGGAAGCUCUGAAGUGUUUGACCUAGAAAUGACACAAAGUGUUAGGUGGAAGAUUCUCUUGCCUCUUAGGACGUAGCACAAGAGCGUGUCAAGCUGAGUAUGUCCAGGGCACAGUCCCAGAGGUGGCCUUGAGCGGAGAGCUAUCUUCCAGGGAACACAGGAUAUUUCUUCUUGUAUUGCUCUUAGGGUCAACUCUGUAUCAAGAGACAGAAACCAAGAUGACUCAAAAGCCCUUGAAAAAGAGGCAGUCUCCUCUUAGAGAACUGCGUGUUUUCAUACAGCCUGUGCAGAGGGAGAGCUGUGAUUAAGGACCUGUAUUUUUUAUUUGCAGACUUUCAGUUCUGCUCUAAUUUGGCUGAAACCAUGGGUUCCGAGUUUCAUUUCCAAACGGCCAGCUUCCGGGCACGCCUUGCGGUCCCGACCAGCUACGCGGUGGCCCACGGGGCCCUGUGGUGUCUCCUGUGAGAAGGGUGGGAGCUCCCCGGGCCGGAGGAGCGACCCCCCACGGGGUCCGUGCUCACCCCACAUCCGGAGGUAGCCGGGUUCCACACCGAAUGCAGAAGUUGUAGUGGGAGAAGACGCCAUCUCGACUGCACAUGGAAUUGUGGUCUGGAGUCUGAGUGACAAUCAGAAGAUUCAGGGGAACUCGAAAGGGACCAGAUGCUUUUAGGUCAGAGAUUUAAAAUUCGGAAAGCAAAAGAAAAGAGAGAGGGGAGAGAAGAGGAGGAAGGAACUUGCAAGUGUUGCUGCAUCUUGAGAAAGGGGGAACAGGACAUGAUAGCCUUCGCUGCUCCCCUCAGUGCUGCUAAUUCAGGACCAAUUCCCUGCCAAGCAGAAGCAGGAAGCUGCUUGGAGAAAGGGCUGGGCGCCCCGGGCUGCUCCCCACGCUCCCCGUGGGUCUGUCUCAUCUGCCGCCCCCGCUCGCUCUCCAGCAGGUCUGCGGCUCACGAGGACACUCGUUAUUCCUCAGCUACACGCCAAGAGGGAUCUAGAACACUUUGGAAAAAGAACACAAAAGCCCUGGGUCUGCUGAGCAGCCUGUGAUCCGAUUAUCUGGCUUUGCCGAGGGCCGAGGGGGAGUGCUGUUUAUCUGGUCAGGGGUCGCGGUGGCAUCUCAAAGCCGCCCGGCCCCAUCCUGGGAGAAGGGCCAGCAGCAGGAGCCGCGGCAUCCAGACAGCUCCCGAGCAGAGCAGCCCACCCGGGGACACCGUCUCCUUCCGAGGGCAGGCCGAAGGGCAGGCACAGGCGCUCCGGAAGCAGGGAGAGCAUGCGGGGCGGGGCGGGGAGGGGAUUUCAGAGCUCACGGGCCGUCCUCCUCCCUCUGAAGUGUCCUGUCGGCGGGAACCAGCCUGGGGACUUCACAGCGAUGUCUGAUGUCUCUCCUCAUCGACUGCUUUCCUCCACCAGUGGACUCCACCCCUCACCGCUCUCCCAUUGGCCCUCGCUGCCUCUCGGUCUUGCCCGCCCUUCCCGUCAGGAUGUGCCAACCAUUCUUCCACUUGGACCCGGGCCUCCCACGAGACAGAUACCCCUUGCUUUCUUCUCCGAUUCUCUUUUCUCUGACACAGGCUAAAUGGCUUGGGCCACUCUUCUAAUUAGCAAUGAUCGCGCCUCAGAUAAACCUCAUUGGCUGUGCUGCUGCCACUGGGAAAACCUGGAGGCACUCGCUCUCUUAGACGUACAGUUUUACCCAGUGGUCAGAGGGCUAUCACAGAAGAUUCUUCAGGACACUUUCCUUUGGGAGGCGUAAGAGGAGCACAGUAGAAAUUACGCUGGGCCUUUGCGUGUGCAUGAUUCGUCUGCAUGGCCCAAAUGUGAACCACGCAAUGCUCCCAGUGUGACGCAUCCUGGCAGUAACUGGCAGCGUGAAUGGAGAGCCGAGUAAAUGCCCCUCCCAGUGGUUUCUGGUGAAACUUGGAGCUUUUUGUAGCUAACGGCAUUUCAACUUUGUCCCGAUGGAAAAGGUGGCCGACAAGAGGUGGUAGCAUUUCAGACGCGUUCAUCAGCCUGUGCUGCACAAGGAAUCCAGACCUACCAUUGAUGAGAGUUCGUGCAUCAAAACACCCAAGCGUUUCCCUUCCUACGGUCGCCUCGGUUCAGAUGCAUGGAGCGCAUAAGCCCAGCUCACAGUCCAGCACCUUCCGGCAGUUUGCUCUGAGGAGCUGCAGCUGUCCUUCCAGGGAGCGCAGGUGCCGGCCUCGGGUAACUCACAGCAGCGACGACAGCGGUCUGCACGUGUGUCAAAGUGGCUGGAGGUGGUGACCGGAAACUACCCGGGGACAUUUAUCCCCGGGAGAAGUCAGGAGGGCUGGCUCAGGUCCUUUGCCAAAGACAAUGCUGGUAGAAACAGAAUUCCAGGAGUCUGAGGGUUGAAUGAGAGGGGCUUUCCUAGGAGCCCAGACUCCUUCUGCCAGACCCCAGGAGUUGUUGACAAGAGCCAUAGCUGAAGACCCCAGAGCCAAAGCCUGCAUCAGCAAAUCUCCUCUGCUUAUCUGAAGAGCAAGACCCACAGGAUUACGCAGGAGAAAACAAUGUCAGAGCAGAAUUCACGGCCUGGUGAAGAAAGAAUCCGUGUUUCUUCCUUUGGAAUCUCUGCAAGAAAGCUCCUCAUAGAAAACUGAUUUCAGUAUGGUACAGUUUGCCUUAGUUCUCACUAAGGCUUUUCGUCCAUCGGAGGGCAUGGUAACAGUGACUGCGGUGAGAUCCAUCGGGUGCACGAUGUAAGUGCAGUAUGAAGGCGCUGCUGGCAGAUCUAGGCAGGAAGCGUGGCGUGCUGCGGCAGCAGGCAACUGCUCCCACACUGAGGGCCCGGCGCAGGUACUGACCCCACCAUGUGUGGCCCUGAGGGCAGCAGAGCACCUUCGUGCCCAGGGCCUUCGAAACUGCGCCUCUUCGUCACAUGUACUCCCUUGUCUCCAGCUCCGAGCAACGUAGACCCUGAGGGCCGCAGCUGUGCGCAGGACUCCGCCUUCCAGUACAGUUUCCAGGCCAGGUUUCUGCCUCUUUCUCACUAAACCAAGUCGGACCCACAAUGCCACACUCUCGAGAAAGCUUCCAAGCGUGGAGGACUCAAACUGCUGAUACCCGAACUGAUCUAAAUUUAACCUCAGGUAUCUUUGCCUUGUUAGAAUGGAGGCAGUUAGAGCGGGGAUAUAUUUGUUUUCGAGGCGAAAAGAUGAGAUUGACUUAAAUAGGAUGCACGAUGUAUUACUGAAAUCGUUUGAAAGGAGAACUGAUCUGAAAUAAGAUAUUCGGUGCUAUUUUCAGAUGAGGCCAGGAAACAGUGCUACUAUUAGAAAAUACAGUUUCUGACAGUGGAAGUACUUUCUUUUGUGAAAAAGACUAUGAAUAAAUUUAACAAGGAAACUAUAUUCAAAUAGAGCUUCUAACAUCCAACACAUUGUAUAAAUUCAUUAAUAAUAAAUAUAAACAAUAAAGAAAAAUACCAUUGAGAAUAAACUGCAAGGAAGAAACUGGUCCUAUGAAACAUCUUUCCAUGCCAUAAUAAUUGAUUAGUGUAAUAUCUUUUCAAGCUGUACCGCUCAGAAGUAUUUUAAAUAUUAUUUGACUAUAUAUGUAAUGUAUAUAUAUGUGUGUAUGUGUGUGUGCAUGUACUAUUCUUAGCUAAAUAUACACUAUUUUACUCAAGUGAAAUAUGAUAUCUGUCAUUUUUGUAACUAACUUAGAUUCAGUGUGGACUCCUCCAGGAUGUUCUCAUACAAUCAAACAAUUUGAUGUCAUAUUCUUUGCUUCAAUAUAAU